RNAcentral lists this ribosomal RNA (439 nucleotides) under uncultured bacterium. RNAcentral describes it as "partial 16S ribosomal RNA". It matches the Rfam family "Bacterial small subunit ribosomal RNA", at positions 339 to 795 of the family's 1533-position model. The record is from RNAcentral.
CUACGGGUCGCACCAGUGAGGAAUAUUGCGCAAUGGGGGAAACCCUGAUGCAGCAACGCCGCGUGGAGGAUGACGCAUUUCGGUGUGUAAACUCCUUUUAUAUGUCAAGAAAAUGACGGUAGCAUAUGAAUAAGCACCGGCUAACUCCGUGCCAGCAGCCGCGGUAAUACGGAGGGUGCAAGCGUUACUCGGAAUCACUGGGCGUAAAGGACGCGUAGGCGGGUUGGAAAGUCAGGUGUGAAAUCCUACAGCUUAACUGUAGAACUGCACUUGAAACUUCUAAUCUAGAGUAUGGGAGGGGGAGAUGGAAUUAGUGGUGUAGGGGUAAAAUCCGUAGAUAUCACUAGGAAUACCUAAAGCGAAGGCGAUCUCCUGGAACAUUACUGACGCUAAGGCGUGAAAGCGUGGGGAGCAAACAGGAUUAGAUACCCCGGUAGUC